CAGGCUCCAUCUUUAUUCACAUCAGCUGGGGCACUUGUUGUUCCCAACUGAUGUUCAACUGAGAGGUGAAUGGUAAUGAGUAAAAGAACGUCAGUGUCAAUAUUACUUGGGGGGAAGAAAAAACUCCCCCCAGCAGGCUCUACAGGAUUAUUAUCUGACAGAGAAGAGUACAGACUGCAAAUGGGUGUGGCUGUUAGUGAAUAUUAAAGUGACUUCUCAAAUGAUCACCGACUGUGAGUGAGAACAUGGAUACUAAUGAUCAUGACAAGAACGGCUGUCAUUUAUGUGGUCUGCAGGAUGGCAGGUGCCCUGGGAAAGGACUCUGCAUCCCUCGCCUCAUUUCGUCCCCACUCAUCCUUGUCCCCAGGGUUUAGUUGAGAAAAUUGCACCUCAACAGGGUUGACAGGUAGCAGAACUUCAGAUGUCUAUGUUUCAAAGGCCUGAGUGGUUUCCACUGUCCCCCCCCCGGCCCCCCAUACCCACGGCAGACAGACAGAUGGACUAUGCACGUACAGUUGUAACGGGCCUCUCGGAGAGCGAUCAAAAUCAACUGCUCUCCUUGUCCCCUGUGCCCACUCCCACCCCCCAGAUGGGACACGUUCUUGUCUUGCCCCUAGUGGAGGCUGAGAUGGGCUUUUCCAGCCACCCUCAUGUAAUACAGAACACCCUGUUCACUGUAUGUCCUGAAGGUUUCUCAUUUCAGUAAUGGGUAUAUUCCAUCCAACGUAAGGGUCCAAACUCCAGACCUCCCUAGCGGUACACUUCGGCCGUGUUCUCCCCUGGCUGGGUCUGCUGCUGACUGCAAGCUGGUGGUGGGAGAGGCUGGGCCGUCAGCCCCACCCCCGUUUCUCUGCCUUUUGCCUCCCCCAGUGUGGUAAACGGUUUCUGAUCCCUCCAGGGUCCGAGUGGCGGAGGGAGGAGGGGUCACGAAAGGACAAAAGGUUUUACUGGUUAAGUCCUGUCUUGAACUUGCUGCCAUAUCACAAGGUUGCAUGAAGAGAUUAUCAUUUUAGCACCGCACACGAAAAAGGCAGAUUUGUUGAAUUUUGGAGGAACGCUGAGAAAGAGUAAUGAUCUCCAAAACUAACUGAGCUCGUUUUCUGUGCUGUACAAACACAUACACUAUCAGAAGUGGCUACAAUUACUUUUUCCCAUUUUAUUGUUAGGGAAACUGAGGCUCUGAGAGUAACCCAUCAAGCUCAGAUAGCUCAUUACAUGGGAGACCAGGGAUUAGGGCCCAGAGAAUCUGACUUUAGAACUUGGUCUCUUAACCUCUCUGCUAUGUGAAGUUGGAUAUCUAUCAGAGAGGAAGGUAUUAUUCGUUACCAACUUGACAAUUUGCCUUCUUUCUUAUUCUAGGGAAUAUUGCCAGACUGGAUAGUAUUUCCUUUUAACAGCUGGCACCAAAGCAAAUUGAAUGAAAAUGAGUAACCUGAAAAAAAAAAAAAAAGAAAAAAAGCCCCACUUUCUGAAAUUGUACUAAUUUAUGAUCAUAAAGGGAACUCUUGUGUUUGAAAAUAACCAACAACUCAAUUGGAUGGUGUGUGUAAAGAAUCAGGAAAACAAAACAAAUCUCAAGGGAGCUCAUUUGUAUAACUAGAAACUAUCUCAAGAAAAUUAUUUCUUGGCAUUGCGUGAUACUUGGGAGCGUAUUUCAUACAGUCAAAUUCGCACCCAGAAAUAAUUUGUUGUAGGAAAUAAGACACCCUCCCCUCAACACAUGGCUUGCGGGGAGAGAGGAAUACAUCACUGAUAAUGACUAUCACAUAUACAGCUUUUAUGUCAGUUGCUGUAUUUGUCCCUUUCCCCAUGCUGUAGUUUACUGGUACUCACGAUAGCUUUGAAGCACUUUUACAUAUUACAGUUUCCCAAAAGCAUGUUUAGUUCAAGAGAUUGGAGGAUUUGGGGUGGAAGUGAGCAGUGUGGAGUGGCUGCCUUGCACACACCAGUCUUCACCCCUUUGUCUAAGCCGCCCCCUCGGUACGGUCCAUCUACACUGUCUCUACCUGUUGAACUCUUACUCAUCAUACAAAGCCCACACAGAUUGUCACCUCUUCAUGGAAGUCUUUGUCAUCACCACAACCAGAUGUGCCGUCUGCCUCUAUUGGACCGCAGAAUGUUUUAUAAUUCACCUUUGCAACAUUCUUCCUUGUAUGAGAGUUAGCCUAUCUUUGUCCUGGUUAGAGAGUUGUUACUUGCAAGGUAGCAUAGUCCAGCUUGGGAGCAGAGGGUGCCAAGCUAAGGCCCCCAGGCCAGAUUCUCCCCACUGCCUAUUUUUGUGCGGCCCUUGGGAUAGGAAUGAUUUAUGUAUUUGUUAAUGGUUCAGAAAAAGUUAAAAGAAUAGUAUUUCACAAUAUAGGAAAAUGAUAGGCAAUUCAGAUUUCAUUGUCCAACACUUAAUUUUUAUUGAAACACAGCCGUGCUCUUUUGUUUAUGUAUUGCCUACGGCUGCUUUUGCACUAAUACGGCAGGGUCGAAUACUGAUGACACAGACCGUGUGGCCCACAGAGCCUAAAGUAUUUUCUGUGUGACCCUUUACGUUUGUUGACUUUUGCUUUAGAGCAGGUGUUCUAUCAGCAGAACUUGGAGGGCUCGUUAAACCAGACUGUUGGGCCCCACCCUUAUAGUUUCUGAUUCAGAAGGUCUGGGGUGGGUCCUGCGAAUCUGCAUCUCUAACGAGUUCCCAGGUGGCCCUUCUGCUGCUGGUUGGAACCCACACUGCGAGAAUCACUGGUCUAGCGGUAAAGGAUGGUCUUUGAAAUCACAGGAGGAAUGAUAAAGGGCAAGUACUUCAGGAACAAAACCAUGCUGACAUCUUCAAGGAACCAGAUAGGAGUGCCCCCAAAGAACUAUAUAGGACAGAAUGUGAGCGGGGGAGAGACAGAGAGACACAGAAUCCGAAGC
Felis catus (domestic cat) is the source of this 2904-nucleotide long non-coding RNA. RefSeq lists it as uncharacterized. The transcript has 3 exons. NCBI's taxonomy places the organism in Eukaryota, Metazoa, Chordata, Mammalia, Carnivora, Felidae. The record is from RefSeq and is a predicted model, not a curated record.